UGAUACGUAGGGUGCGAGCGUUGUCCGGGAUUUAUUGGGCGUAAAGAGCUCGUAGGUGGUUGAUUGCGUCGGAAGUGAAAACUUGGGGCUUAACCUGAGCGUGCUUUCGAUACGGGUUGACUUGAGGAAGGUAGGGGAGAAUGGAAUUCCUGGUGGAGCGGUGGAAUGCGCAGAUAUCAGGAGGAACACCAGUGGCGAAGGCGGUUCUCUGGACCUUUCCUGACGCUGAGGAGCGAAAGCGUGGGGAGCGAACAGGCUUAGAUACCCUGGUAGUCCACGCUGUAAACGGUGGGUACUAGGUGUGGGGUCCAUUCCACGGAUUCCGUGCCGUAGCUAACGCAUUAAGUACCCCGCCUGGGGAGUACGGCCGCAAGGCUAAAACUCAAAGGAAUUGACGGGGCCCCGCACAAGCGGCGGAGCAUGCGGAUUAAUUCGAUGCAACGCGAAGAACCUUACCUGGGUUUGACAUGGACUGGGAGUGCUCAGAGAUGGGUAUGCCUCCUUGUGGGGCUGGUUCACAGGUGGUGCAUGGCUGUCGUCAGCUCGUGUCGUGAGAUGUUGGGUUAAGUCCCGCAACGAGCGCAACCCUCGUUCACUGUUGCCAGCACGUUAUGGUGGGGACUCAGUGGAGACCGCCGGGGUCAACUCGGAGGAAGGUGGGGAUGACGUCAAGUCAUCAUGCCCCUUAUGUCCAGGGCUUCACGCAUGCUACAAUGGCCGGUACAAAGAGUUGCGAGCCUGUGAGGGUGAGCGAAUCUCGGAAAGCCGGUCUCAGUUCGGAUUGGGGUCUGCAACUCGACCCCAUGAAGUCGGAGUCGCUAGUAAUCGCAGAUCAGCAACGCUGCGGUGAAUACGUUCCCGGGGCUUGUACACACCGCCCGUCAAGUCAUGAAAGUCGGUAACACCCGAAGCCGGUGGCCUAACCUGUG
Molecule: ribosomal RNA, 929 nt
Filed under: Cutibacterium avidum
Lineage: Bacteria; Bacillati; Actinomycetota; Actinomycetes; Propionibacteriales; Propionibacteriaceae
Description: bacterial SSU rRNA
Rfam family: Bacterial small subunit ribosomal RNA
Source: RNAcentral